GGAGAAGUUCACUCUGAAGCUUCGCUUCCGCUCAGACAUUGAAGAGCUCGUCCUGUACCAGCCUACGCUGACCCGGAUCGAACUACUUGCGUACGCCGGCGGCUACCUGGGCAUAUGGCUCGGAAUGUCGGCCCUCGCAUUCCUCUUGGAUCUCCACGGUAAAGCGUAUUGGCACAAGAAAGAAAUCAAGAAGAUCUUCAGUACCAUGUUGACACCGAGCGGCCAAAGUUUGUGGCUGAAAAAGAAACAACGAUGGACUGACCCUGUGAUUCGCGUCCGCUAAAGAAUGUUCAGCUCAAGUAGCUGCUUCGAGAUCAAGGUGCCUGCAAUAUCU
Molecule: long non-coding RNA, 334 nt
Filed under: Dermacentor andersoni
Lineage: Eukaryota; Metazoa; Arthropoda; Arachnida; Ixodida; Ixodidae
Description: uncharacterized LOC126542833
Source: RNAcentral